AUCAGCGACUACGCCAAGUCAUUUUUACAGCACAGCACAAUCUCUCGGCAUAUUUAUUCUAAUUGCUGUUCAUUAUUUGGGGGCAUUUAGAACAAUCCCAACAACGUGAUCACGCCCUGUCUCAGUACUGAUGAGGCUGCUCGCUGUGAAUCACUCAUUUAGCUUCUCUCUGGUGCCGCUGCAACAGGUUAUUUUUGGGCGCUGUCGCUGGGGUUUCGCUGUGCGGCCGCAGAGGGCGCAGCGAGCGGAGCCGUGCUCGACAGGACAGCGAGAGUGGAAGCGGCGUAUCUCGGCUCAGGUCGCCGCGGCUGUGCGGCGCCAUCGAAGCGAGACGGGCAGUGGCGCAGCUUCCCCAACAUUUCCUGCCAUCUUCAAAGAUAUUUUGAGCAUAUAUCCCGUCUGUUUUUGCAUCCUUAUUAAAGCUUUAUUGCUUUAAUAGGGGUGCAAGAACAGAUCUGUGUACAGUUGCUCAUUUUGCCAGAUGACAUGGGCCAUUCUGAUAUCUCUUGCAUCCAUUUCAUUCCUUGCUACAUACCCUCAACUUCAUUUUAUUUGGAAUUCUGCUCCACACCUCGAAUGUCAUCUAAUCUAUGCCAACAAGAAUGGUGGUCUACUCAUUCUAUCCAAAAAGCUUGCAACCUUUGGAGGAAUCCAAAGCAGUGACCAUGGCACUGGGGACAGCGUGGAAACAGAUGUCUUGGCUUUACUACCAGUACCUGUUGGUUACAGCACUGUAUAUGCUUGAGCCAUGGGAAAGGACCAUAUUCA
Mobula hypostoma (lesser devil ray) is the source of this 768-nucleotide long non-coding RNA. RefSeq lists it as uncharacterized. The transcript is spliced from 3 exons. NCBI's taxonomy places the organism in Eukaryota, Metazoa, Chordata, Chondrichthyes, Myliobatiformes, Myliobatidae. The record is from RefSeq and is a predicted model, not a curated record.